RNAcentral lists this long non-coding RNA (272 nucleotides) under Mytilus galloprovincialis (Mediterranean mussel). The record is from RNAcentral. Lineage: Eukaryota; Metazoa; Mollusca; Bivalvia; Mytilida; Mytilidae.
GUGGUGGUAUGUUUUUGUAAAUAGUGAUUCCCAACUUAAAACUUUGUUCAAUAUGAACCAAGGAUUGCAGUUAUAUAAAAAAUACAUUGAAAGUAACCCUUGACAAGAUUAUCUUAUUGAAUGGAGAUUGUUUUCAAUGCAUUUAACCUACUUUAUUACACAUCCUUCUAAAGCAAUGUAUCAGAACUGCUAGUAUUUGUUAUUCAGACUAUUGUUUAGAUGCAUAUUUUGAAAGCAUGUGAUUUAGAAAUCCAAAGCCCAUACCUGCCAGC